RNAcentral lists this ribosomal RNA (469 nucleotides) under uncultured bacterium. RNAcentral describes it as "partial 16S ribosomal RNA". It matches the Rfam family "Bacterial small subunit ribosomal RNA", at positions 28 to 507 of the family's 1533-position model. The record is from RNAcentral.
GACGAACGCUGGCGGCGUGCUUAACACAUGCAAGUCGAACGGAAAGGCCCUGCUUGCAGGGUGCUCGAGUGGCGAACGGGUGAGUAACACGUGGGUGAUCUGCCCCUUACUUUGGGAUAAGCCUGGGAAACUGGGUCUAAUACUGGAUAGGACCAUGCUGUAGGUGGUGUGGUGGAAAGAUGAGUUUCGGUAAGGGAUGAGCUCGCGGCCUAUCAGCUUGUUGGUGGGGUAAUGGCCUACCAAGGCGUCGACGGGUAGCCGGCCUGAGAGGGUGGACGGCCACAUUGGGACUGAGAUACGGCCCAGACUCCUACGGGAGGCAGCAGUGGGGAAUAUUGCACAAUGGGCGCAAGCCUGAUGCAGCGACGCCGCGUGGGGGAUGACGGCCUUCGGGUUGUAAACUCCUUUCAGCCAUGACGAAGCCCUUGUGGUGACGGUAGUGGUAGAAGAAGCACCGGCUAACUACGUG